AGGCCUAAUACAUGCAAGUCGCACGGGAAGCCCCCUUCGGGGGGUGGAGAGUGGCGCACGGGUGAGUAACGCGUGGGAACCUAUCCCGGGGUGGGGGAUAACCACUGGAAACGGUGGCUAAUACCGCACGAUCCCUGAGGGGCAAAGCAGCGAUGCGCCCUGGGAGGGGCCCGCGUCCGAUUAGCUAGUUGGCGGGGUAAGAGCCCACCAAGGCGGUGAUCGGUAGCUGGUCUGAGAGGAUGAUCAGCCACACUGGGACUGAGACACGGCCCAG
RNAcentral lists this ribosomal RNA (274 nucleotides) under uncultured bacterium. RNAcentral describes it as "partial 16S ribosomal RNA". It matches the Rfam family "Bacterial small subunit ribosomal RNA", at positions 46 to 334 of the family's 1533-position model. The record is from RNAcentral.